This 73-nucleotide transfer RNA is filed under the name Pontibacillus halophilus JSM 076056 = DSM 19796. RNAcentral describes it as "tRNA-Val". It matches the Rfam family "tRNA". From Rfam's summary of the family: Transfer RNA (tRNA) molecules are approximately 80 nucleotides in length. Their secondary structure includes four short double-helical elements and three loops (D, anti-codon, and T loops). Lineage: Bacteria; Bacillati; Bacillota; Bacilli; Caryophanales; Bacillaceae. The record is from RNAcentral.
CGUAGCUCAGCUGGGAGAGCGCUUGCUUGACAGGCAAGAGGUCGCUGGUUCGAGCCCAGUCGGAGUCAUACCA